This 429-nucleotide ribosomal RNA is filed under the name Pseudomonadota bacterium. Its description in RNAcentral is "Proteobacteria bacterium partial 16S ribosomal RNA". It matches the Rfam family "Bacterial small subunit ribosomal RNA", at positions 355 to 776 of the family's 1533-position model. Lineage: Bacteria; Pseudomonadati; Pseudomonadota. The record is from RNAcentral.
UGGGGAAUAUUGGACAAUGGGCGAAAGCCUGAUCCAGCCAUGCCGCGUGUGUGAAGAAGGUCUUCGGAUUGUAAAGCACUUUAAGUUGGGAGGAAGGGCAGUAAGCGAAUACCUUGCUGUUUUGACGUUACCGACAGAAUAAGCACCGGCUAACUCUGUGCCAGCAGCCGCGGUAAUACAGAGGGUGCAAGCGUUAAUCGGAAUUACUGGGCGUAAAGCGCGCGUAGGUGGUUCGUUAAGUUGAAUGUGAAAGCCCCGGGCUCAACCUGGAAACUGCAUCGAAAAGUGGCGAGCUAGGGUAGGGCAGAGGGUGGUGGAAUUUACUGUGUAGCGGUGAAAUGCGUAGAUAUAGGAAGGAAAACCAGUGGCGAAGGCGACCACCUGGGCUCAUACUGACACUGAGGUGCGAAAGCGUGGGGAGCAAACAGG